Molecule: ribosomal RNA, 599 nt
Filed under: uncultured bacterium
Lineage: Bacteria
Description: bacterial SSU rRNA
Rfam family: Bacterial small subunit ribosomal RNA
Source: RNAcentral
CCUACGGGAGGCAGCAGUGGGGAAUCUUGCGCAAUGGGCGAAAGCCUGACGCAGCCAUGCCGCGUGAAUGAUGAAGGUCUUAGGAUUGUAAAAUUCUUUCACCGGGGACGAUAAUGACGGUACCCGGAGAAGAAGCCCCGGCUAACUUCGUGCCAGCAGCCGCGGUAAUACGAAGGGGGCUAGCGUUGCUCGGAAUUACUGGGCGUAAAGGGAGCGUAGGCGGAUAGUUUAGUCAGAGGUGAAAGCCCAGGGCUCAACCUUGGAAUUGCCUUUGAUACUGGCUAUCUUGAGUGUGGGAGAGGUAUGUGGAACUCCGAGUGUAGAGGUGAAAUUCGUAGAUAUUCGGAAGAACACCAGUGGCGAAGGCGACAUACUGGCCCAUUACUGACGCUGAGGCUCGAAAGCGUGGGGAGCAAACAGGAUUAGAUACCCUGGUAGUCCACGCUGUAAACGAUGAGUGCUAGUUGUCGGCAGCGAUGCUGUCGGUGACGCGAGCUACGACAUAAGUACACUCCGCCGUCGGGAGGUACGGUCGCGAGAAUUAAACUACAAGAAGUAGACGGCGNGAGACGUGCCGACGGACGACGACGAGGGAGAGG